Molecule: ribosomal RNA, 516 nt
Filed under: Triticum aestivum (bread wheat)
Lineage: Eukaryota; Viridiplantae; Streptophyta; Magnoliopsida; Poales; Poaceae
Description: partial small subunit ribosomal RNA
Source: RNAcentral
AACGUCCCCGGCGAGAAGCGCGAGUACACCAGAACGCUCAAAGGGGUUGAGCUCCAUGACAAGGAGAUGCUGGAGAUCGUCUGCACCAGCGAACCAGACAAGGCCGGCAAGGUGAUCUCCAGGAUCUGGAUGAAGCUUGGCGGCAGGUUUCAUAGGAUCGUCGGCGUUGGUGUGCACUACACCAAUGAAGAUGAACCUCCCCAGAUGGCAGCAGUCCUGCAGUUGUGCGUCGACGAACUCUGCUUGGUGUACCACAUCACAGCGGCCACAAAAUGGCCCAAGCGCCUGACCGGCAUGCUGCAGCAUGACAAGUUGUUCACAUUUUUUGGUUUCAGCAUUGAAAGCUACAAAGAGAAGCUGAAGUUAUCCGGUAUGGAGAUCAACCCCAACAAGUUCAUUAACAUUCAGCGCAAGUGGAGAGUUCCAUACACUGGAAAAGAGUACAACUCCUUGACUGAUGUUGCAGCCAGCGUCAUCCACCCAUUCUACAAAGGCAUGAAGAACAAGAUCAACACG